AUGGCUCGCCAUCUUGCUCUCCUCGGCCAGCACGAAGGUGCUCAUCAACGGAGACCCCGGCCCCACCAUUUGGCACCGGUGUGGCCUUCGCCAGGGCGACCCAGUGUCCCCGCAGCUGUUCGUCCUCACCGUCGACACACUCGGUCGCCUUCUACGCCGUGCCACGGAGCUAGGCGUCCUGCAGCGAUUACACCCCCGGCGCCCGAUCCCCUCGGUCUCCCUCUACGCCGAUGA
This 234-nucleotide ribosomal RNA is filed under the name Triticum aestivum (bread wheat). RNAcentral's name for it is "partial small subunit ribosomal RNA". Lineage: Eukaryota; Viridiplantae; Streptophyta; Magnoliopsida; Poales; Poaceae. The record is from RNAcentral.